Molecule: long non-coding RNA, 5119 nt
Filed under: Sus scrofa (pig)
Lineage: Eukaryota; Metazoa; Chordata; Mammalia; Artiodactyla; Suidae
Description: lncRNA (ENSSSCG00060015566.1)
Source: RNAcentral
UCGGAGCUGUAGCUGCCAGCCUACACUACAACCACAGCAACACGGGAUCCCAGCUGCGUCUUUGACCUACACCACAGCUCACGGCAACACUGGAUCCUUAGCCCACUGAGCGAGGCCAGGGAUAGAACCGGCAACCUCAUAGUUCCUAAUUGGAUUCAUUAACCGCUGAGCCACGACGGGAACUCUGAAAAAUAGACAAAUUUGAUGUCACAAAAAUUAAAUUUUUUGCAUCAAAAGUCACCGUUGGAGUUCUGCUGCGGCACGAUGGGUUAAGAAUCUGACUGCAGCAGCUUGCGUCGCUGUGGAGUCACGGAUUUGAUCCCCAACUUGGCGCUGUGGGUUAAAAUGAUCCAGUGUUGCCACUUUUGUGGCAUAGAUCUCAGCUGCAGCUCAAAUUCAGUCCCUUUCCCAGGAACUUAAAAAAAAAUAGUUACUGUCAAUAUAGUAAAAAGACAAUCCACAGACUGGGAGAAAAUAUUUGCAAACCACAUAUCUGACAAUUAAUAUCCAGGGAGUUCCUGUUGUGGCGCAGCAGAAAUGAAUCCGACUGGUAUCCAUGAGGAUGUGGGUUUGAUCCCUGGCCUCACUCAGCAGGUUAAGGAUCCGACGUUGCCAUGAGCUGGGUGUAGGUCACAGACAUGGCUCGGAUCCUGUGUUGUUGUGGCUGUGGCGUAGGCUGGCUGUAGUCUCUCCAAUUCAUCCCCCUAGACUGGGAACUUCAACAUGCCGCAAGUGUGGCCCUAAAAAAAAAAAAAAAAGAAUCUAAAGAGAACUCCCAAAACUCAACACAAAAAUGGAUAAGCAAUGAGAUCCCGCUGUAUAGCACUGGGAACCAUAUCUAGUCACUUAUGAUGGAGCAGGAUAAUGUGAGAAAAAGAAUGUAUAUAUGUGUGUGCCUGGGUCACCUCGCUGUACGGGAGAAAACUGGCAGAACACUGUAAACCAGCUAUGAUGGAAAAAAUAAAAGUCAUUUAAAAAAAACCCCAAAAAAACCCAACUAAUUAAAAAAUGGGUGGGAGGAGUUCCUGUUGUGGCUCAGUGAUUAACAAAUCCAACCAGGAACCAUGAGGCCAUGGGUUCGAUCCCUGGCCUUGCUCAGUGGGUUAAGGAUCUGGCUUUGCCAUGAGCUGUGGUGUAGGUCACAUACGAAGCUUGGAUCUCACAUUGCUGUGGCUCUGGCAUAGGCUGGCGGCUGUAGCUCCAAUUGGACCCCUGGCCUGGGAACCUCCAUGUGCUGCAGGUGUGGCCCUCGAAAAGACAGAAAGACCAAAACCAAACAAACAAAAAACAAAAGGGCGGGAGACUUGAAUAGACAUUUCUCCAAAGAAGACAUGAAUGACUAAUAUGAGCAUGAAAAGAUGCUUGACGUCACUGAUCAUUAGGGAAAAUCAAAACUGCAGUGGGAGAUACCUACCACUUCACACUCAUUACAGUGGCUCCUGUCAAAGACCAGCCACGCGUGUGUUGGCAAGGACAUGGAGACGCUGGAGCGACGUAAGAUGGAACAGCUGCUGUGGCAAAUAAUUUAGGGGUUCCUCAAAGAAUUAAAAGCUGAGUUGCUUUAUGGUCCCAUAAUUCCACAUUGAGGUUUAUACACCAAAGAACGAGAGCAGGUCCAGACGAGACAGGGAACACCCGCGCUCAUGACGGCAUUGUUCACAGUGGUCGAAUAGUGGGAGCAACCCCAGGGCCCAUUGACAGAAGGAUGGAUGAGCUAAGUGUGGUGUAUACACACAAUGGAGUGUCGGUCUGCCUUGUAAAAGGAGGGAAUUUUGCAACGCAGAUGAAUCUUGAGGAUAUUAUGCUAAGUGAAAUAAGCCAGUAGUAAAAAGACAAAUACUGCGUGGCUCUGUUUACGGGAGCAACAUGGAGCAGUCAAACUCACAGAGACAGAAAGUAGAAUGGCAGUAGCCAGAGGGUGGGAGUCAAUGUUUCAUGGUCUAGAAUUUCCGGUUCACAAGACGAGGUAGGAGGAUGGAUGCUGGUGAUGGUAGCACAAAAAUGUGACUGUGUUUAAUACCACCGAACUAUGCUUUUAAAAAUUUUGUUAUGUGUAUUUUACAAACACAAACAACGUAUGCACGAAGAGAUGUGGUUUUCUGUCCUUUGGGUCUGGGAGAAGGGAAGGGGGGACUUGGUGGGGCACAGGGGAUUUUUAGGAAGAGUCACUCUUCUGGGUCAUAUAAUGGUGGGUAUAUGUCAUCACGUAUUUCUCAAAUCCCAAAGAAGGCACAACACCAAGCGGGAACUCUAAUGUGAACUAUGGACUUUAGUGAGUGAUAGCGUGUCAACAUUGGUUCAUUGAUUGCAACAAAUGCGUCACAUUCACGGGAGAUGUUCAUAACAGAUGAAACUGUUGGGGGGACGAAGGGGCACGAGGGACACUACACUUCCUGCGCAGUUUUUCUGUAGACGUGAGACUGCUCAAAAAGGAAGCCCAUUCUGGAGUUCCCAUCGUGGCUCGGCAGUUAAUGAACCUGACUAGAAUCCACGAGGAUGUGGGUUUGCUCCCUGGCUUCGCUCAGUGGGUUAAGGAUCCGGUGUUGCUCUGAGCUGUGGCGUAGGUUGCAAAUGUGGCGGUGGCGGUAGCGGCAGCUGUGGUUCGGAUUCGACCCCUAGCCUGGGGACCUCCAUAUGUCGAGGGUGCAGCCCUAAAAAGCAAAAUAAAUAAAUAAAUAAAUAAAUAAAGUUUCUUCUUCUUCUUUUUUUUUUUUUAAAAGAAGAUUUCUCAUUGGCCAGAACAGGAUCACAGGGCCGCUGCCGACUGCAAAGGCGGCUGGGAAAGCAAGGAACAGCCUCUCUCUCUUGGACAGUGGACACUGUCUUUCGCCAAAUAGGAGCAGGGUCUGGUGACAAGGAAGAUGAAGGGUGCCACUAGGAGACCAGGCUCCAAAUCUCAACCUGUAGGUCUAACCCAACGAGCUGGAAAUGACCAUAGACUCUUCAUAUCCCUGGUGCUCAGAGCAUGGCACACACACCUAGCAGGUGCCAUGACCUGGGCCAGUGACUGGCAGAGCAUCGCCGCCUUACCCUGACCUCUCCCCCGAGACUGCACACUCUCUGCCUGCUCCUGGGGGGCAGUGUGGCCAGCCAGUGAGGGGUCCUGAGUGUCAGACAGCCACCUGACCUGAUUCUAGGAGGCUCCCACGCUGGCGGCUGGCCCCCCCCUUGCCGCCUCCCUAGCUUAGUGGCUGUGUUCAAUCCCAGUCCCUUCUCUGGGACGGCUCAGGCACCUUCAGUCCAUCCCACUAGUAACAAGGAAAAAUUGAAAAUGCGACAUCCUUUUGCAGUGAUUACAGAUAGAACCCACAGUGCAGGUGAGGCUGGUGACUUUGCACUUUGGGUUAUUGCUGGUGUCAGUGAAAAAGGUCAAAACACUUGGGGAACCCAUGUGUGUCCACUCUCUGAGUCCUUCACCAGACACCAAUAAGCAAGACUCAGAUAAUGGCUCAAUACGCCCUGGAGUCGAUUAGGCCCAGGGAAGAGCUGAUGAAGUAUGCGCUUAGGGUUGCAAACGUGAGACACCCUGUAACCCUCCAGUCUCAUCCCUGGAUGCUGGAUUAAAGGGGAGAAACACAAAAUAGAGGAAAUAGAGUUAGGCACAAAGACAUUCCCCCAAACUUUUUUCUAAUAACGAAAUAUGCGAACCCGUCUGACCUUUGGCGCUGCACCAGGAGAGUGGAUGACCCGUCAUUCUGAGGGACGCAGCCCGGGCACAAGCGUGCCAGUCCGACGGUGAAGGCAGUGCUGCAUCUGUGUUAGAAGUCAGGGGAUAAAGCAGGAUACAGGCGUGUACACGUCCUGUGCUCACAGUUGAAGUCUGUGCCAGGGGCGUGGCCUUCGCGACCCCACGUGUGCCAGCAGCCUGGUGGUCAGACGGUGGCUGCGUUUUCCUCAGAGGUGGAUGGGGCCAUUCUCAUCUUGAGCAUGUGUCAGAGACGACCCCGUAGACGACACAUCCGGGCUCCGUCUCUAUGCCCCCCCCCCCCCCGACAAACUCCAUCAAGGGAGUCUGUGUGCCUUGGGGCCUGGCUCCGUGCCCACCGGGGGCGGCCUGGGGCUGAAGCUGUGGGUGGUGUCCUCAGCCGCCGUUGUGGCGAGAACAUCACAUGUGCCCUUCUUUCCUGGAGGGGACCCUAGGGAGCAGGCUCCCCACCAUCUCUCGGAGGUUCCUCGUGAGCCUGCAGCUGCCCAAGAAGGAGCCCGGACUUCUGUGCCCUCUGAUUGCACCCUUUCAUCCUCCGGCUCAUCCCUGCUGCCUGCUAGGGGUCACCUUCCAAACAAAGGAGUGGCACUGCGAUCCUUGUCUCGGGGUCUGCUUCUGGGGGAGGACAUCCAGGAGAGAAAACAGAGACUCCGAGUUGGGGCCGGGGGCUCAGCAUCUGCUCCUGAGUCUCCAGGGCGGGGCCUUGGAGGUGCGGGAUGGAGGUCAGUGCAGGCAGGCCCUGGCCAUUGGCUCUCCUCUCCACCGUGGCUGAUUCAGGGCUUAGGGGUCCCCUGCCCCUGCCCUGCCACCCCCCCCUUGGCAUCUGGUUCCCCUCCUCGCGUCUCUGUCUUCCCCAUACGUGUUGGGUGGCUCCCUCUGAGUCAGGCAGGGUCCGUGACACAAACACUGGACCAGGGAGAUUGCAGGUUCCUUCCCGCAGCUGCCUCUGGCAGGCGGCCACCGGCAGAUUGUCCCGACGGCUGCCCUUAUCAGCUCAGCCUUGACUUGGGGGCCAAGGUCUGGCCCAUUCUGGGGGCUGAAGAGCGAGGCCGUGGCUCUCAUGCGUGGGGUCUCUGUGCACUGUCAGACCUGGAUGAGAGCUGAGUUUUCCUGCCCAGAGGAGGAAACUGCUGUCACUGUCACCCCACCCCACAUGUCCCCUCUGUUAUCAGGUUGUUAAUAUUAAUUAACAACAGUUGCUAGGAUGACAGAGCGAGGGUGUGUCCCAACCAGAGCUGGCCUGGACCCAAGAGAGCACUGGGGAGAGUGGGGGGCUCGGAGGCUGGAAGUUGUUCGGGGGAGGGGGUGGUGCCCAGGUGCAACCACGUCUCCCACUUCUCCCAGGGCCUGGUACCUCCUGCAGCAGAAGUCACGUGGGGAGCUCACUGCAGGUCUCUGGCUGGCUCAGCCCUC